This 373-nucleotide ribosomal RNA is filed under the name uncultured organism. Its description in RNAcentral is "bacterial SSU rRNA". It matches the Rfam family "Bacterial small subunit ribosomal RNA", at positions 526 to 896 of the family's 1533-position model. The record is from RNAcentral.
CGGAGGGUGCAAGCGUUGUCCGGAAUCACUGGGCGUAAAGGGCGCGUAGGUGGCCUGUGGAAGUCUGCGGUGAAAGCCCGGCGCUCAACGCCGGGUCGGCCGUGGAUACUCUCGGGCUUGAGCUCACUAGAGGCAGAUGGAAUUCCGGGUGUAGCGGUGGAAUGCGUAGAGAUCCGGAAGAACACCGGUGGCGAAGGCGGUCUGCUGGGGUGAUGCUGACACUGAUGCGCGACAGCGUGGGGAGCAAACAGGAUUAGAUACCCUGGUAGUCCACGCCGUAAACGAUGGGCACUAGGUGCUUGGGGGAGCGACCCCCUGAGUGCCGUCGCUAACGCAUUAAGUGCCCCGCCUGGGAAGUACGGCCGCAAGGCUG